GACGAACGCUGGCGGCGUGCUUAACACAUGCAAGUCGAACGGAAAGGCCCCCCUUGGGGGUACUCGAGUGGCGAACGGGUGAGUAACACGUGAGUAACCUGCCCUUGACUUCGGGAUAACUUCAGGAAACUGGGGCUAAUACCGGAUAGGAAUCCUUGCUGCAUGGUGGGGGUUGGAAAGCUUCGGCGGUUUUGGAUGGACUCGCGGCUUAUCAGCUUGUUGGUGGGGUAGUGGCUUACCAAGGCUUUGACGGGUAGCCGGCCUGAGAGGGCGACCGGCCACAUUGGGACUGAGAUACGGCCCAGACUCCUACGGGAGGCAGCAGUGGGGAAUAUUGCACAAUGGGCGGAAGCCUGAUGCAGCAACGCCGCGUGCGGGAUGACGGCCUUCGGGUUGUAAACCGCGUUCAGCAGGGGCGAAGCUUGUGGUGACGGUACCUGCAGAAGAAGCACCGGCUAACUACGUG
RNAcentral lists this ribosomal RNA (466 nucleotides) under uncultured bacterium. Its description in RNAcentral is "partial 16S ribosomal RNA". It matches the Rfam family "Bacterial small subunit ribosomal RNA", at positions 28 to 507 of the family's 1533-position model. The record is from RNAcentral.